UACGUAGGGGGCAAGCGUUGUCCGGAAUCAUUGGGCGUAAAGCGCGCGUAGGCGGCCCGGUAAGUCCGCUGUAAAAGUCCAGGGCUCAACCCUGGAAAGCCGGUGGAUACUGUCGGGCUAGAGUCCGGAAGAGGCGAGUGGAAUUCCUGGUGUAGCGGUGGAAUGCGCAGAUAUCAGGAGGAACACCGAUGGCGAAGGCAGCUCGCUGGGACGGUACUGACGCUGAGGCGCGAAGGCGUGGGGAGCGAACAGG
This 253-nucleotide ribosomal RNA is filed under the name uncultured bacterium. RNAcentral's name for it is "partial 16S ribosomal RNA". It matches the Rfam family "Bacterial small subunit ribosomal RNA", at positions 524 to 776 of the family's 1533-position model. The record is from RNAcentral.